GACGAACGCUGGCGGCGUGCUUAACACAUGCAAGUCGAACGGAAAGGCCCUGCUUUUGUGGGGUGCUCGAGUGGCGAACGGGUGAGUAACACGUGAGUAACCUGCCCUUGACUUUGGGAUAACUUCAGGAAACUGGGGCUAAUACCGGAUAGGAGCUCCUGCUGCAUGGUGGGGGUUGGAAAGUUUCGGCGGUUGGGGAUGGACUCGCGGCUUAUCAGCUUGUUGGUGGGGUAGUGGCUUACCAAGGGUUUGACGGGUAGCCGGCCUGGGAGGGUGACCGGCCAAAUUGGGACUGAGAUACGGCCCGGACUCCUACGGGAGGCAGAAGGGGGGAAUAUUGCACAAUGGGCGGAAGCCUGAGGCAGCAACGCCGGGUGGGGGAUGACGGCCUUCGGGUUGUAAACCGCUUUCGCCUGGGACGAAGCGUGAGUGACGGUAAUUGGUAAAGAAGCACCGGCUAACUACGUG
Molecule: ribosomal RNA, 468 nt
Filed under: uncultured bacterium
Lineage: Bacteria
Description: partial 16S ribosomal RNA
Rfam family: Bacterial small subunit ribosomal RNA
Source: RNAcentral